Molecule: long non-coding RNA, 746 nt
Filed under: Brassica rapa (field mustard)
Lineage: Eukaryota; Viridiplantae; Streptophyta; Magnoliopsida; Brassicales; Brassicaceae
Description: long non-coding RNA (BRAP_LNC000305)
Source: RNAcentral
AACAUCUAAUUUUAUGUUACUCUCAGUAUAUUAGAAAUAGUCGAACCGUAAACCAAUUAAGAAUGAUGUAAGGAAGGCAUAAAGAUGUAUUUCCAGUUAUCACAAAUAUAGAAUCAAUUGACAACAACUUAAUUAUGUCCAGCGUAGGACAACAUAGAAGAGUUUUCAUACCUUCUAAUAUUAUAAUAUCUCACUAUAUUAUUGGUUAAAUCAGUUUUCUCUAGCACAAAUACUCACUCUAUUUUUAGAGUUUAAGCUUUUCUAUCUGAUAAUAUUAGUAGUUUGAUCCAAAAAAAAAGAAACGAUUGAACUGUACAUUAUAAUUGGAGAAAAAAAACAAACAAAAAUCAACCGAAGACUUUUAAGGUAUAUGAAACAAAAAUUGAAAAUAUCAAUUCUCUGCAAUUAAAUAGUAAUGCAAUAAAAUUGUAAAAAUACAAAAUAAAGCAAAAAAAUACACAGAAAGAAAGAUUUAGUAAAAUAAAAUCAUUAUAUAAUUUCCAUAAUUGAUAGUGCUCAGCUACACUAAACUGUCUAAAUUUACAACAUACACAGUUUUAUUUACAUCUUGAAACCUAUUAUCUAAUUAAAAUGAUUCUAAAAAAAGUGACAGCACGAAGAGUUAAAAAAUAUACUAUAAAAUAUAAUACAUAACGUUAAAAAUAUAUUACCACUAAUCACUAAGAAAUCAUGUUAGUAGUAACAAAAAUGAAAUGACAACACAUUUAUUAAAACCAUAGAACGAC